RNAcentral lists this ribosomal RNA (775 nucleotides) under uncultured Neocallimastigales. RNAcentral's name for it is "partial large subunit ribosomal RNA". It matches the Rfam family "Eukaryotic large subunit ribosomal RNA", at positions 23 to 626 of the family's 3401-position model. The record is from RNAcentral. Lineage: Eukaryota; Fungi; Neocallimastigomycota; Neocallimastigomycetes; Neocallimastigales.
AGAGAGAGACAUGCGCGCAUAUCAAUAAGCGGAGGAAAAGAAACUAACAAGGAUUCCCUUAGUAACGGCGAGUGGAGCGGGAAGAGCUCAAAUUUGAAAUCUUCAAGGUUUUACCUUGACGAAUUGUAGUUUAAAGAAGUGUUUUCUGCUGAAGUUUUGGUAAAAGUUCUUUGGAAUAGGACAUCAUAGAGGGUGAGAAUCCCGUAUUUGACCAUUAUUUUCAGCUUUGUGAUACACUUUCAAAGAGUCGGAUUGUUUGGGAAUGCAGUCCAAAAUGGGUGGUAAAUUUCAUCUAAAGCUAAAUAUUGGCGAGAGACCGAUAGCGAACAAGUACCGUGAGGGAAAGAUGAAAAGAACUUUGAAAAGAGAGUUAAACAGUACGUGAAAUUGUCAAAAGGGAAGCGUUUGACACCAGUGUUGUUUUCUCGAAAAUCAAUUAAAAAUGGCUCGAUUUUGUAUUGCUUGAGACCUUAAAAGCUCACUGUACAUUCUUCGUGUCUUUUUUAAUGCACUUUUCGUUUAACAAGUCAACAUCAGUUUCUUUUGUUGUAAAAGGGUCAUUGGAAGGUGGCUUUCUUUUCGGAGAAAGUGUUUAUAGCCUUUGGCCUCUGCAAUCGGAGAGACUGAGGUCUGCAGCGUAGACUCUUCGGGGUUAGAUACAUUUGUGCUAAGUUAUAGCUUUUUAUAGACAACUUGUUGACUAUAAUUAGUCUUGUAGCUUACUCGCUUAUGCUAUUUUACCUACGCUUAGGAUGUUGAGUCGUAGAGCACGCAG